UCAGGCCUAACACAUGCAAGUCGAACGGUAACAGGAAGAAGCUUCGCUUCUUUGCUGACGAGUGGCGGACGGGUGAGUAAUGUCUGGGAAACUGCCUGAUGGAGGGGGAUAACUACUGGAAACGGUAGCUAAUACCGCAUAACGUCGCAAGACCAAAGAGGGGGACCUUCGGGCCUCUUGCCAUCGGAUGUGCCCAGAUGGGAUUAGCUAGUAGGUGGGGUAACGGCUCACCUAGGCGACGAUCCCUAGCUGGUCUGAGAGGAUGACCAGCCACACUGGAACUGAGACACGGUCCAGACUCCUACGGGAGGCAGCAGUGGGGAAUAUUGCGCAAUGGGCGCAAGCCUGAUGCAGCCAUGC
This 360-nucleotide ribosomal RNA is filed under the name uncultured bacterium. Its description in RNAcentral is "bacterial SSU rRNA". It matches the Rfam family "Bacterial small subunit ribosomal RNA", at positions 43 to 396 of the family's 1533-position model. The record is from RNAcentral.